This 932-nucleotide long non-coding RNA is filed under the name Equus asinus (donkey). RNAcentral's name for it is "lncRNA (ENSEASG00005031137.1)". Lineage: Eukaryota; Metazoa; Chordata; Mammalia; Perissodactyla; Equidae. The record is from RNAcentral.
GUGGAAGUGAGGAGGAGGCUCCAUGUAGCCUUGGUAGUGCUGGAUCCAGAGGUCUUAAUGGGAGUGUUUGGAGGUCACUUGAAAGUAUGUGUGAGGCAGAUGGUGAGUCUGAUGAGGAACCUGAAGAUCACUUUAUCCUGGUGCUCGUGGCCUACUUGGUGUGCUGUCCCUUAGGAGCUGUGGCCAUGUACUAUUCUGAACAGACAAGGAAACACAACUAUAAGAAUGAACGAGACCUGGCAGCCGAGGCUUCCCGCUAUGCCUUCAUAUUUGCGAUUGCAGCAAUUCUGGUGGUAUGCAUCGGUAUAUUACUCCUCGUGAUUCUCUUGACAGUGGCCAUACUUUCUCGGUAACCUGCCUUCCAGCUCAUGAGCAAAUCACCAAAUAUAUACAGCAGCAUUACUUAGAUGGCUCUAAGUAUCCAUUUGGGCUAAAUGGGACAUCAGCUCCUCAAUGUCUAGAGUGCCAAGUGUUGCCAGCCUGAGCAAGCACCUUGAGGUUGUGGAAGUGGGGAGGAAGUGUAACGCAGCCCAUUUGACCUGUGCUCAAGACCAACUCUGGGACCCUGCCAAGGGAUGGGACCAUGGGAAGUAGGGAACUAGGAAUGCAACAGAGCAAGAUAAGAAGAUCUCUUUCUGAUGGAGCUUACAUUCUGGCAGGGAAGGAAACCAGAAACAAAUAGACCUCUAAACACACAAGGGUUUCGCGGAUUCAAAUCCUGGGCGCGAACAUGGCACCGCUCGUCAGGCCAAGCUGAGGCGUCGUCCCACAUGCCACAACUGGAAGGGCUCACAGCUAAAAAUGCACAACCAUGUACCGGAGGGCUUUGGGAAGAAAAAGGAAAAAUAAAAUCUUUAAAAAACACUUACAGCAACUUGACAUUUUCAUGACAUCCAAGUAUGUGAUCAGGAGCCUUGUGUAGGUGAACAGGG